UUAUCCCCUAGUUUAAUGGUUAAAACUUUACUCUUCUAAAGUAAUUAUUUGGGUUCGAAUCCCAAGAGGAUAAU
This 74-nucleotide transfer RNA is filed under the name Metschnikowia bicuspidata. RNAcentral describes it as "tRNA-Arg". It matches the Rfam family "tRNA". Rfam says of the family: Transfer RNA (tRNA) molecules are approximately 80 nucleotides in length. The record is from RNAcentral. Lineage: Eukaryota; Fungi; Ascomycota; Pichiomycetes; Serinales; Metschnikowiaceae.